This is a non-coding RNA of Chiloscyllium plagiosum (whitespotted bambooshark), 784 nucleotides long. NCBI's taxonomy places the organism in Eukaryota, Metazoa, Chordata, Chondrichthyes, Orectolobiformes, Hemiscylliidae. The record is from RefSeq and is a predicted model, not a curated record.
UAAGAAAAUAAAAAGUUAUAAUUAUUUUAACUACCAGAGAAAGUAAGGCCUUGGCUUAGAUGGUGGCAGAAAAGCUGACAGUUAAUGGAAAACACUGAAAAAAAUCAGUCACAUCAAGGAACUAGUUUUAAAUGGCGAUUGGGUGGCAACAAUAGCUACUGUGGAGGUCUGAUCUUAAAUGUAAAAAUUAGUAAAAAGUAUCUAUUUCCCUCCAGGCAGAAAGGCUGCUGUGCUAAACUGCCAUUUGGGUUUGUGCAGACACUGAAGCUGCUGUGCUGACUGCAUGUGGUGUUCUGCUAGCUCUAAAGCUCCAGGUUAAUGGUACAGCUGAUCCAAGCAAGGUGACCGGGAAUGUGAAGAUGCUGCCUGAUGUGCUGCGCUUUUCCAUCAUUUGUUUUGACUUUUGGUUUAAUACAUGCAGCCUCUAUGAAGUUUAUAAGAAGUUUAAACAAUCGAUAUGUAAAUCAUACACAGAUGCAAAUAAGAUCAAGUUAUCUGGACACUAAGAACUGGAUUGCCAAGACUCUAUCUGGACCUCAAGCUGAACAUCUAAAAUCUACAGUAUGUGAUCAAUAUUCUGGAGAAACUUAUAUUUCAUCAAAUGUUGCAAAGAAAUAUCAUUGGUGAGGCCGCUGUAAAUGGUUGGAUCUAGUACCAAUGUACACCAGAAGUGAUGCCCUGGGACUGAGAUGAUGGUGCUGCAAAUGCAUGUAAAUAUAGUCUUGUACGUGUAAGAGAUGUCUUUGGUUUGUUGGACAGAGUCGAACUCCAAUGUUUUUGUUUC